AGCAGCCGCGGUAAUUCCAGCUCCAAUAGCGUAUAUUAAAGUUGUUGCAGUUAAAAAGCUCGUAGUUGAAUUUCGGGAUCAAAUUGUCGGUCGUGCCUCGGUACGCACUGGCGCUAUUGGUUCCUCCCUUCUGAAGAACCGCGAUGUCAUUAAUUUGGUGUCGCGGGGAAUCAGGACUGUUACUUUGAAAAAAUUAGAGUGUUUAAAGCAAGCUCGCGCUUGAAUACAUUAGCAUGGAAUAAUGAAAUAGGACGUUUGAUUCUAUUUUUGUUGGUUUCUAGGAUCGACGUAAUGAUUAAUAGGGAUAGUUGGGGGCAUUAGUAUUCAAUUGUCAGAGGUGAAAUUCUUGGAUUUAUUGAAGACUAACUACUGCGAAAGCAUUUGCCAAGGAUGUUUUCAUUAGUCAAGAACGAAAGUUAGGGGAUCGAAGACGAUCAGAUACCGUCGUAGUCUUAACCAUAAACUAUGCCGACUAGGGAUCGGAUGAUGUUAAUUUUUUAAUGACUCAUUCGGCGCCUUA
This 520-nucleotide ribosomal RNA is filed under the name uncultured Glomus. RNAcentral describes it as "SSU rRNA". It matches the Rfam family "Eukaryotic small subunit ribosomal RNA", at positions 569 to 1090 of the family's 1831-position model. The record is from RNAcentral. Lineage: Eukaryota; Fungi; Glomeromycota; Glomeromycetes; Glomerales; Glomeraceae.